Long non-coding RNA from Triticum dicoccoides, 770 nucleotides. RefSeq lists it as uncharacterized. NCBI's taxonomy places the organism in Eukaryota, Viridiplantae, Streptophyta, Magnoliopsida, Poales, Poaceae. The record is from RefSeq and is a predicted model, not a curated record. The transcript is spliced from 5 exons.
AGCAGUAGCAAGGAUCUGGUGGUGGUUCAUGAUAUUGGACUGCAUUACUAAAUGUUCUAGGGUUGGAGAGAGCUUAGAGAGGGGGGAGAGGAGAAACGGCUGCGCCGGACGGUGCUCGUCAUGAUGUGCCUGUGAGUACCCUCCCCCUACCUUAGUUGUUGUUCUCCUUGUUUACCCCAUAACGGCUGCUUCGCGCGGAUUUGCGCCUCCAUCCAUCGCAGGGAGAGGAGGGCUAGAGUAGUCACCGUAGAGCAGGGAGGCGGCUGGAGUUGUCUGUUAUUGAGGGAAGAAUGGCAGCUCGGGGAGACUUGAGGCAGCGGUGGCGGGGAGUGUGUGUGUGUUCACAAUAGAUGUGUUUUCAGAACUUAUUACUUUUGAUACACUGCCCCUUUAUGUUGAGCAGAUGCGGAUCAUAUUUAGGGAGAUUAAGAUGCUCAAGACCAAGGAAUGCAGACUGAAGGCUGCCAAUGAUACCCUUCAAGAAAGGCCCUAACAGAUAAAUGGAAGCAUCUAUUGGGUGGUACUCUCACUACUUAGCAAAGAGAAUGAAGGGUCAACAUUUACGGUCAUGCUGCCCAUGCUUGGGAAAAAAGGCAAAAAUGUUUUACGGCUCAAGCAUGGGAAGUAUAGACCAAAGAAUGUGGUUUACAGUUUCCCUAUUUUGUUGGAUCAACUAAUGUGUUGCUUUGUUGCUUCAUGUGAGUGAUGUAUGUAAUCAAGAACCAGGAAAGCAUACCAGUAUAUUGCAAUUCCAAAACUUAGAAAAAUGC